This 297-nucleotide ribosomal RNA is filed under the name Triticum aestivum (bread wheat). Its description in RNAcentral is "partial small subunit ribosomal RNA". The record is from RNAcentral. Lineage: Eukaryota; Viridiplantae; Streptophyta; Magnoliopsida; Poales; Poaceae.
AUGAUUGUUCUUAUUCCUAAGGUGCAGAAUCCUGAGUCGAUAAAGGACUUUCGCCCAAUCAGCCUUUGUAAUGAGAUUUAUAAAAUUAUCUCCAAGUGCCUUGCCAACAAACUGAGACCUCUGCUGGAUGGUAUGACUUCUCCUACCCAAAGUGCAUUUAUCCCUGGAAGAUCAAUAUUUGAUAAUGUCCUCAUCUAUUUCGAAUGUAUGCACUCUUUAAAUACGUUAAAAGAUAGUUGUGGUGAAUUUUGUACAUAUAAGUUGGAUCUCGCUAAAGCAUAUGAUCGUGUCCACUGA